GCCUGGGUGGCUCAGUGGUUGAGCAUCUGCCUUCGGCUCAGGAUGUGAUCCCAGGGUCCUGGGAUCGAAUCCCACAUCGGGCU
This 83-nucleotide transfer RNA is filed under the name Canis lupus dingo (dingo). It matches the Rfam family "tRNA". Rfam says of the family: Transfer RNA (tRNA) molecules are approximately 80 nucleotides in length. Lineage: Eukaryota; Metazoa; Chordata; Mammalia; Carnivora; Canidae. The record is from Rfam by way of RNAcentral.